GGGUCCGUAGUCUAGCGGUUAGGACGCCGCCCUCACACGGCGGAGAGCUGGGUUCAAUUCCCAGCGGACCCA
Molecule: transfer RNA, 72 nt
Filed under: Candidatus Aenigmatarchaeota archaeon
Lineage: Archaea; Nanobdellati; Candidatus Aenigmatarchaeota
Description: tRNA-Val
Rfam family: tRNA
About the family: Transfer RNA (tRNA) molecules are approximately 80 nucleotides in length. Their secondary structure includes four short double-helical elements and three loops (D, anti-codon, and T loops). Further hydrogen bonds mediate the characteristic L-shaped molecular structure. tRNAs have two regions of fundamental functional importance: the anti-codon, which is responsible for specific mRNA codon recognition, and the 3' end, to which the tRNAs corresponding amino acid is attached (by aminoacyl-tRNA synthetases). tRNAs cope with the degeneracy of the genetic code in two manners: having more than one tRNA (with a specific anti-codon) for a particular amino acid; and 'wobble' base-pairing, i.e. permitting non-standard base-pairing at the 3rd anti-codon position.
Source: RNAcentral